CCUACGGGUGGCAGCAGUGGGGAAUAUUGCGCAAUGGGCGAAAGCCUGACGCAGCGACGCCGCGGGAGGGAUGAAGGUCUUCGGAGCGGAAACCUCUGUCAGCAGGGAAGAACGGUCACUGUGCUAAUCAGCAGUGAAUUGACGGUACCUGCAAAGGAAGCACCGGCUCCCUCCGUGCCAGCAGCCGCGGUAAUACGGAGGGGGCUAGCGUUAAUCGGAAUGACUGGGAGUAAAGCGCUCGUAGGCGGUAUGUCAAGUCAAGGGUGAAAUCCCCGCGCUCAACGUCGGAACUGCCUUUGAACCUGGCAAACUGGAGUGUGUGAGAGGAUAGUGGAAUUCCAGGUGU
This 346-nucleotide ribosomal RNA is filed under the name uncultured bacterium. RNAcentral describes it as "partial 16S ribosomal RNA". It matches the Rfam family "Bacterial small subunit ribosomal RNA", at positions 338 to 676 of the family's 1533-position model. The record is from RNAcentral.